CUUUGCAAAGGUAUGCUGGUCCUUCCCCCCUGCUAACUUGUACUGUCCUCCAGGACAAACACUGCUGGGAUGACUGACAUGAAGAAACAAUAGCGGCUACCCUCAUUGCUAUGGAAACACAGGUCGACAGUAAUUUGCCUUGAUAGAAUGUUAAGACAUCCCUAUAGCAAAAACGAAGAUACUUGUGCGUGAAGGAGAUUUAAAUGGAAAAGUCGGUGCACAGAGACAGUCCCACUCUUUCGGUGUUGGAAACCUGGGUCCAGUGGCACGAAAAAUCGUUACGCCUGGAGAAUUCCUCAGCUGCAUUGGAUGGCCGUGUUGUCUUUUGUGCUCCAACAUGCCCUAAGCACUCCACAGUGCUUUGCUGCUUCGCCAUCUCAGCCAUUGAACCUUCUUAUUGGUUUCUUCCGUCUGUUCGGCCAAAGCAGUCUUCACAUGCUGGAGGUAGGUAGGUGGCACCAUGGAUAGAGCCAUGAGCUUGGAGUAAACUGGAUGACACUGGGCAAAUCACAACCGCUGCUUAUCUCAAUUUCAUCAACUGUAAGUUGAGUACCAAAUUAGCAUCUAGCAAACAGGGUUAUUGUGAAAAACAUUUAUAAGGCACUUAGUAUUCUGUUUGGCACACAAAGGUACUUAAAUGCUUUCUUCCUUUAUCU
This 656-nucleotide long non-coding RNA is filed under the name Monodelphis domestica (gray short-tailed opossum). RNAcentral's name for it is "lncRNA (ENSMODG00000029836.2)". The record is from RNAcentral. Lineage: Eukaryota; Metazoa; Chordata; Mammalia; Didelphimorphia; Didelphidae.